UGUUUCCCGAUUUCGAAGGAGUUAUUGGUUUGUUUUAGUUAUUGUUUCAUAAAUAUUAAUUACAUUCUGUUGGUAGUGAAAUGCUAUUCGUCUUCGAGGGUUUCUGGUUUUUCAAGAAAUGAAUUUAAUUCAGGCAUUUGUUGGUUUUAAUUUUUAAAAUUGUGUUUAUUUUUUAUUACCUGUUGCUAAGAUUAAGGGGGAUUAGCUCUUUAUUUGAUUUUUAUAAUUUGGUUGGUUAUAUUUGGUCUUGUGGAUUUUAUGGUGAUUAUCAAUUUGAUUAUGUUAAAAUUUUAUUGGUUGUUUUCGUUAUUUGGUUUGUAUUUAAGUUUUUAUUGAAAUGUUUACUUUAUCUUUAUUUGUGUAGUAAUUAUUGUGGAAUUAGUAUAUUUGUAUGAUUGGGUUGUUUGUUUGUUUGUUAGUUUCUUUUGAGGAAUUCGGCAAAUAUUGGUUUCCGCCUGUUUAACAAAAACAUCUUUUCUUGAUAGUUUUUGAAGUAUAGCCUGCCCGCUGAUUUGGUUUGAAGGGCCGCGGUAUUCUGACCGUGCAAAGGUAGCAUAAUCAUUAGUUCUUUAAUUGUGAUCUGGAAUGAAUGGCUGGACGAGACACUAGCUGUCUUAUUUUGAAUUGGGUUGUUGAAUUUGGUCUUUGAGUUAAAAUUCUUAAAUGUUUUUAUGGGACGAGAAGACCCUAUAGAGUUUUACAUCGGGUUUGGGUUGAUAGUGUUUGUUGUUUUAUGUUUAUUUGGCUUGAUGUUUUGUUGGGGCGAUGGGAGGAAUUUAUUUAACUCUUCUUGUUAAGUUGAUAUAUUGAUUUAUAUUUGUUUGAU
RNAcentral lists this ribosomal RNA (826 nucleotides) under Prorhinotermes flavus. RNAcentral describes it as "partial 16S ribosomal RNA". The stretch from base 429 to 615 matches the Rfam family "Archaeal large subunit ribosomal RNA", at positions 1805 to 2098 of the family's 2987-position model. Lineage: Eukaryota; Metazoa; Arthropoda; Insecta; Blattodea; Rhinotermitidae. The record is from RNAcentral.